RNAcentral lists this ribosomal RNA (253 nucleotides) under uncultured bacterium. RNAcentral's name for it is "partial 16S ribosomal RNA". It matches the Rfam family "Bacterial small subunit ribosomal RNA", at positions 524 to 776 of the family's 1533-position model. The record is from RNAcentral.
UACGGGGGGGGCAAGCGUUGUUCGGAAUUACUGGGCGUAAAGGGCUCGUAGGCGGCCAACUAAGUCCGAUGUGAAAUCCCCAGGCUUAACCUGGGAACUGCGUCGGAUACUGGUUGGCUUGAAUCCGGGAGAGGGAUGCGGAAUUCCAGGUGUAGCGGUGAAAUGCGUAGAUAUCUGGAGGAACACCGGUGGCGAAGGCGGCAUCCUGGACCGGCAUUGACGCUGAACAGCGAAAGCCAGGGGAGCAAACGGG